UCACCUUUCUCUGCCUUUCGGCUAAGGUCGAGUGCUGUGUCUGUUCUUAUUAGUUUAAUAUCUGAGACGUGGCCAUCGGUGAUAUUAAAUUAAUUUUUCUAAGGGAAGGGUCCAAUACAGUAGCUUGCUAGUGGUGCUCUCGCGUGCCGCCUUGGCAUUGCCCUGCUGCCUUGGCCUAGAGCACAUGCA
Coffea arabica (coffee) is the source of this 189-nucleotide small nuclear RNA. RefSeq annotates it as U2 spliceosomal RNA. The record is from RefSeq and is a predicted model, not a curated record. Lineage: Eukaryota; Viridiplantae; Streptophyta; Magnoliopsida; Gentianales; Rubiaceae.